RNAcentral lists this long non-coding RNA (1078 nucleotides) under Aotus nancymaae (Ma's night monkey). Its description in RNAcentral is "lncRNA (ENSANAG00000039111.1)". Lineage: Eukaryota; Metazoa; Chordata; Mammalia; Primates; Aotidae. The record is from RNAcentral.
CGCCGCAGCCGCACGGGACAAGGCUGGAGGCGGUGCCCGGGGCCGUCCCGGGGAAGGAGGCCGCCUGCCACAAGCAGCGCAGGAGCCCGGCACUUCUGACCUCCGUACCUCUUUCAGCCGGCUUUCCUGAUCGGACCGGCUCGAGGACGAGGGCGUUUCAGAUCGUCAGGUCUUCACUGGGGACUGCCCUCCCCAUGGCAUCCCGGAUGGCUUGGAAGGCUUGGGCCGUGGUCGGGUCCCAUCGGGCUGGAGAUUCAGUCCGAUGAGGUGUGGCGGGGGUCGGUGGACCCCAGAAACAUGGGCCUGAGACCCUCGAGGAGGGGGGUCAGCAGAACAGUCCCCUGCUCCGUGAGCUCACCGCCCCCCUUGGACAUGGGCCACCCACCAAGGGGCCCUGCCUUGGUCUCCAACUCCAGGAUCCCCUGUUUCUCAGCGCUGCUGAUGUAGAAGGCACUACCGCUGAGGGCCCCUGCUUUGCCAAGCCGCUGAGACGGUACCGCAGGCCAUGGUGGCAGUCACUGUCACGCGAGCCUCGGCCACAUGCAGCGCAAACACAAGCACACACACGUGAACACACACGGAGACAUGCAAACAGACACACGCACAUGCACACACAGACACACACACGGAGACUAAGCCACGCGGAGAAAUCCAACAGUCGCGGGCAGCUCCUGAGGCUGUGCGGUUCUGCUCUCUUCCGGGAAGCCCCUCGGGGUUAGAGCAGCCCCGCAGCACACAGGCUGACCUUACCUUUAAUUCCCAGCGGGGACAGCCUUCAAGGAGACGCACCCCAAGAUCGUCUGGGCAGGCCUGAAUCAUCUAGGGGGUCCUUGGGGAUCCCUCGCCCUGGGCAUCCGUAAAGGUCCGCUGGACCUUUCCUCAGCCCGGUUCCGCCAAGCCGGAAUCCGGAAAUCGCGGGACCGCUGCGACGAUCUCCGUGAAGCGGGGUCCGUCGCCCAACGUCCAGGAACUGCCGCAGCGGGCCCCUGCCUUUCCAAGACGCUGAGACGGUUCCCCCGGACACGGCGGCCGUCACUGUGAGGCGAGUCCCUGCUCAGCGCUCCGCUUCUGAUGCCCC